ACUCUCGAGCCGCCCGUCCACACUCCACCCUGCCAUCUCCUCCACCGCUGUGCAUCUUCCACCCUUUUCUACUCCAGCCAGAACUGUGUUCUGAAUGCAAAGGACACACUUAAGUUAUUUAUGAACUGACGUGUUUACAGAGAGAAAGAGCAAACUGUUUGGGAUUACAUUUCCAUAAUAAAUGACCGUCUCUAAGUCACUUUAGAACAAAUGCGAGUUGACGACUUUCCCCAGUCCACCUCCCCUCUGCCCACCUGUCGAAUCUCCCUUAGCUUCUUUCCAUGACAGCAGCCUUGAGCAGCCCGGAGGGAACUCAGUGCCCCGCCCACUCCAUUUCCUUAUACAAAGGGGCUGUUCGAAAGUCAGGAGAGCUGCACAUCACUGGGCCGGCCAGCCCCUGUUUGCUGAGAUCUCUGUUUCUCUAUCUGGCAGGUCGACAUAACUUGAAGAUGUAUCUUUCUUUCUGUGGCCUGUGGUCUUCUGUGAUGACAUUUAGACCUCAUUCAUGCUAUGACCUUUGGCUCAUAAGAACACAAAUCUAACAUUGCCAGGUUUUAGUGCUGACUUAAAAGUACAACUGCCCACUUGAUUAAAAUGUGCUCCCAUGCUUAUCUUGUUCUGUGCUGCUGUUCGAAGAUAAACCAGUGCCAUUUGAUGAGAGGCAAGGGAUGCUGCGGCCACCAGGGGGGGUUCAGGACAUGAGGUGCCCCUCCCUGGGUGCUCAGAUCAGCAGAUGGCCAGAGGGACAGUCUCUUCAGACAUUAGGGAACGCUCCAGCAACAGUGCUUCUGUGUCCGUCUCCUCUCAGCCACCAGAAGAAGACAAUUUCCCCUUUGCCGAUGUCGUCGGACUCACUUUGUCUUCCGUGCUAGUGACAGGAGACACCAGAACUGCCAAAGGACACCAGAUACACAAAGCAACUGCUGGGCUCAGAAGACAAGAUAUUAAAAGGUAUUUGCCUGUUCAAGUUCCCCCAAAGCAGUCACCGGCCACUGAAACUGGAUGGCCAGUGAGCAUGUGCAACUCUCCAUCCUGAACACUGACUGGCCUUUGUACCUGUGGCCGGCUGUCAGGUGUUAUGGUGUGUGUCUUCACAUGUGGACUUUGAGAAGUCAGGACACAAACGUCCCUCAGAUACUAGGGAGCCAGUCUCUAGGUAAUCUCUUAUUCCAACCAACAGUUUCAGGAGAAAAGAAGACACGGGUGCAGAGCUGGGUCGCUGCAUUUUAUCUGCUGGUCGAGUGAAGAACUUUCUUUCCUUAUCCCAGGAUGGGCUUUAACAGAAGUAGAGCCAGAAGACUGGGUAUCACCCCACUGGCCCCGUGACUGCCAUCCACCAGGUGGGAAGGCAUUACACCCCAUUUUACUCUUCCUGGUGCCUGGAGCUUAGCUUGUGUUGCAUAGCAUUUGUAUUAUUUUAUAUACAUUUAUGGAACAAAUCAGAUAUUUGCUUUAAGAAAUGCCAUUUUUCAGCUAGGGAGAUGGUUCACUCUCCUGCCUGCCAUGCAAGCUGGAAGACCUCAUGCAGAUCCUCAGAGCCUACGAGAAAAGCCAUGUGUGGUGGUGUGUGCCUAUAAUGACAGCCUAGGAGGGAGUGGGGGAGGGGGACACAGAUCCCCAUAGCUCAUUGGCCAGCCAGUGUAGCUGAUUAAUCAUUGACCUUUGUGUUUACUGAGAGACCCUGUUGGAAAACAAUAAGGUGAACAUCAACCAAGGACAGACACCAAACACCAGGCACCAGACUCCACAUGAAUGCACAUGAAAUGGGUAAUUUUUUUUUUUAAUUUUAAAGGCAGUAAGGGAUCCCUUAUAACACAAAUAUUGCUAUGACUCUAUCCACCAGAAGCCACCUUCCCCAUGGUCUGUGCCAGGGCAGGCCAGUGUAGAUGCACCAUGCCCUCCUCAUGCCUUAAGGUAAUGCCUGUUAUGGAGCCCAGUGUGAAGAGAAAUCUCACUCCAGACCUAGAGUGUUCCUCGAGUCUCAUCUCCACAGAGCUAAGAACUCUAUCUCCCUUCAGGCAAAAAGGAGGUAACUG
This is a long non-coding RNA of Mus spicilegus (steppe mouse), 2036 nucleotides long. The record is from Ensembl. NCBI's taxonomy places the organism in Eukaryota, Metazoa, Chordata, Mammalia, Rodentia, Muridae.